Molecule: ribosomal RNA, 482 nt
Filed under: uncultured bacterium
Lineage: Bacteria
Description: partial 16S ribosomal RNA
Rfam family: Bacterial small subunit ribosomal RNA
Source: RNAcentral
AUUGAACGCUGGCGGCAUGCCUUACACAUGCAAGUCGAACGGUAACAGGUCUUCGGAUGCUGACGAGUGGCGAACGGGUGAGUAAUACAUCGGAACGUGCCCAGACGUGGGGGAUAACGAGGCGAAAGCUUUGCUAAUACCGCAUACGAUCUAAGGAUGAAAGCAGGGGACCGCAAGGCCUUGCGCGUUUGGAGCGGCCGAUGGCAGAUUAGGUAGUUGGUGGGAUAAAAGCUUACCAAGCCGACGAUCUGUAGCUGGUCUGAGAGGACGAGCAGCCACACUGGGACUGAGACACGGCCCAGACUCCUACGGGAGGCAGCAGUGGGGAAUUUUGGACAAUGGGCGAAAGCCUGAUCCAGCAAUGCCGCGUGCAGGAUGAAGGCCUUCGGGUUGUAAACUGCUUUUGUACGGAACGAAAAGGCUCUGGCUAAUACCUGGGGCACAUGACGGUACCGUAAGAAUAAGCACCGGCUAACUACGUG